GACUCUGGAGAGUCUCAAGUAAGAGCGCCGAAGGUGUACGGCAGUUUACGGACUGUUAAUCUCUCAGGCAAAAGGACAGAGUAU
Molecule: non-coding RNA, 84 nt
Filed under: uncultured Treponema sp.
Lineage: Bacteria; Pseudomonadati; Spirochaetota; Spirochaetia; Treponematales; Treponemataceae
Also listed under: 1 other name
Description: Glycine riboswitch
Rfam family: Glycine riboswitch aptamer
About the family: This family represents the bacterial glycine riboswitch. Glycine riboswitches usually consist of two metabolite-binding aptamers domains with similar structures in tandem. The aptamers cooperatively bind glycine to regulate the expression of downstream genes.
Source: RNAcentral